Molecule: ribosomal RNA, 254 nt
Filed under: uncultured bacterium
Lineage: Bacteria
Description: partial 16S ribosomal RNA
Rfam family: Bacterial small subunit ribosomal RNA
Source: RNAcentral
UACGGGGGGAGCAAGCGUUGUUCGGAUUUACUGGGCGUAAAGGGCGGGUAGGCGGCCACCGCAAGUCAGUUGUGAAAUCUCCGGGCUUAACCCGGAAAGGUCAACUGAUACUGCGGGGCUAGAGUGCAGAAGGGGCAACUGGAAUUCUCGGUGUAGCGGUGAAAUGCGUAGAUAUCGAGAGGAACACCUGCGGCGAAGGCGGGUUGCUGGGCUGACACUGACGCUGAACUGCGAAAGCUAGGGGAGCGAAUGGG